AUUGAACGCUGGCGGCAGGCCUAACACAUGCAAGUCGAAUGGUAACAGGAAGCAGCUUGCUGUUUCGCUGACGAGUGGCGGACGGGUGAGUAAUGUCUGGGAAACUGCCUGAUGGAGGGGGAUAACUACUGGAAACGGUAGCUAAUACCGCAUAACGUCGCAAGACCAAAGAGGGGGACCUUCGGGCCUCUGGCCAUCAGAUGUGCCCAGAUGGGAUUAGUUAGUAGGUGGGGUAACGGCUCACCUGGGCGACGAUCCCUAGCUGGUCUGAGAGGAUGACCAGCCACACUGGAACUGAGACACGGUCCAGACUCCUACGGGAGGCAGCAGUGGGGAAUAUUGCACAAUGGGCGCAAGCCUGAUGCAGCCAUGCCGCGUGUAUGAAGAAGGCCUUCGGGUUGUAAAGUACUUUCAGCGGGGAGGAAGGGAGUAAAGUUAAUACCUUUGCUCAUUGACGUUACCCGCAGAAGAAGCACCGGCUAACUCCGUG
This 490-nucleotide ribosomal RNA is filed under the name uncultured bacterium. RNAcentral's name for it is "partial 16S ribosomal RNA". It matches the Rfam family "Bacterial small subunit ribosomal RNA", at positions 30 to 507 of the family's 1533-position model. The record is from RNAcentral.